GACGAACGCUGGCGGCGUGCCUAACACAUGCAAGUCGAACGGAAAGGCCCUGCUUUUGUGGGGUGCUCGAGUGGCGAACGGGUGAGUAACACGUGAGUAACCUGCCCUUGACUUUGGGAUAACUUCAGGAAACUGGGGCUAAUACCGGAUAGGAGCUCCUGCUGCAUGGUGGGGGUUGGAAAGUUUCGGCGGUUGGGGAUGGACUCGCGGCUUAUCAGCUUGUUGGUGGGGUAGUGGCUUACCAAGGCUUUGACGGGUAGCCGGCCUGAGAGGGUGACCGGCCACAUUGGGACUGAGAUACGGCCCAGACUCCUACAGUGGGCAGCAGUGGGAAAUAUUGCACAAUGGGCGGAAGCCUGAUGCAGCAACGCCGCGUGCGGGAUGACGGCCUUCGGGUUGUAAACCGCUUUCGCCUGUGACGAAGCGUGAGUGACGGUAAUGGGUAAAGAAGCACCGGCUAACUACGUG
RNAcentral lists this ribosomal RNA (468 nucleotides) under uncultured bacterium. RNAcentral describes it as "partial 16S ribosomal RNA". It matches the Rfam family "Bacterial small subunit ribosomal RNA", at positions 28 to 507 of the family's 1533-position model. The record is from RNAcentral.